UACGUAGGGGGCAAGCGUUGUCCGGAAUUAUUGGGCGUAAAGGGCGCGCAGGCGGUCUUUUAAGUCUGAUGUGAAAUCUCGUAGCUUAACUACGAGCGGUCAUUGGAAACUGGAAGACUUGAGGACAGAAGAGGAGAGUGGAAUUCCACGUGUAGCGGUGAAAUGCGUAGAGAUGUGGAGGAACACCAGUGGCGAAGGCGACUCUCUGGUCUGUAACUGACGCUGAGGCGCGAAAGCGUGGGGAGCGAACAGGAUUAGAUACCCGGGUA
This 269-nucleotide ribosomal RNA is filed under the name uncultured prokaryote. Its description in RNAcentral is "partial 16S ribosomal RNA". It matches the Rfam family "Bacterial small subunit ribosomal RNA", at positions 524 to 792 of the family's 1533-position model. The record is from RNAcentral.